Molecule: long non-coding RNA, 1246 nt
Organism: Cyprinus carpio carpio
Lineage: Eukaryota; Metazoa; Chordata; Actinopteri; Cypriniformes; Cyprinidae
Source: Ensembl
GGACCGACUGUUAGCUGCAAGAGACUGGAGCACUGAAGUCAGAUGAUUGAUCUUCAUGUCCAGUUCGUUAAGUGCCUCCAGAAUUGUCCUCUCAACAGCUGCAACACAUUAGAUGGGUCUUCACCCCAAGCAUCCUCUUGCUCAUUUUCAUUGGACAAGCUCACUGGAACAGCUGGAGUUAAGAAAGGUGAAGUUGGUGAGUGUUCACCCCAAGUAUCUUGUGGCUCAUCUGCCUGGGAGAAGCUCAUGGGAACAUCUGGAGCUGAGAAUGAUGGAACUGAAUUCUGGCCUGAUGCUUGGUCCAACCCUUAUCUGGCUGUGGUGCCUCCAUCGACCUGACGCUCUUUAGUAACCGGUCCAAGUCUUUGUAUGGAGGCCACCAUGAGUGGCCAUCUGAGUACCAGGACUUUGCUACAGGACCGGUACUCCCUUCUCCGACGAACUCCACUAUCAGAAAUGUGUUGGUCCUGAGAUGCCAUCAACUAGAUGAAUACCAAGUUCUGAGGAUGGAAGGGGAUAAUCAAAAAAAGGUUCAUGAUUGUUGAAGUGGCUUGAAAUCCUGACAGCCUGCAAGUUAGAGGACCCAGUCGAAGCCACAAGUGGAGAAGCCGCCUCAUGACACCAAGGCACACAAGGUGCAUGUAAUCAAGGGGGAAUCCAGAGACCAUAUCCAAGGAUGUUUCUUCUAGAGGUGCACACCAUCCUGAAUGCACUUUUCGCAUCCAUGGUAGCCUGCGUGGCCCUUCACUUUUUUCAGAAAUGCACGUGGAGGUGCUUCGCAAAUCAUUCAGACUUCUGUCCUGAUGUUUGGCUGUGGUCCCCCCAUCAUCCACUCUUCUGCAACCGGUUUAUUUAUGGAGACCGCCAUGAUCUAAUCUAUACAGAUCUAGUUGUCUCUUCUCCCACAAACUCCUCUUUCAGCUCACCAGAACCUCUGGGUGCACCAGCUGUGGAUAUUACAGGCCAAACUUUGGACACCCUAGGACAACAUGCUAAGAAGCACAGAUCUACCGAUAGCCCUCCAUCAUUCCCACAUCCAUCUUGCAACAAAGUUUCAUUAAGUGCAGUCCAUAACCAGUGUCUGCCAUACACCGUCUGCACCUUGUCCAUUGCAGAUGUUAUGGAUUAUUUUAUUAGAGAUCUUUCUAUUUUUUUUGAGACUGUUACUAUGUAGUCUGUUAUGUUGUGAAUAAAGUCAAACCCCCCCUCACCUCGAUGCUUUGAGCAGUUAAUACAUUAAAGUGUG